RNAcentral lists this long non-coding RNA (1530 nucleotides) under Anser brachyrhynchus (Pink-footed goose). Its description in RNAcentral is "lncRNA (ENSABRG00000003017.1)". Lineage: Eukaryota; Metazoa; Chordata; Aves; Anseriformes; Anatidae. The record is from RNAcentral.
CCCGUCCUGAGCCCGAGCUCUCCUGUGCACUUUAAAAAGGAAAAAGAACAAUCCAGCGCAAUCCUUCGGUCCUGUUUCCAGAGCGCCACUGCCAAGCUAACAAUUUCACUGAAUUAGGGGGAAUUUCCUCAAACAUUCGCUUGAGCUACAUUAAGUGUAACAUGUGGGAGACAACUGUGUUUCCUGGAGAAGAAAGGAAAGCUGUCUCACUCGGUGGAGACUGCCUAACGUCUAGCAGGAGAAAAACAACCAGCCAUGACAAGAAAAUGUUUUUUAAAACUUGGCACAGGAAUAGGGUUUUAUUUAUUUUGAACGCCUUUUCCAGUCUGGCCAACGUAGCGUGUGCAGGGAGGGGUGGCGGAGGGAAGCCGGUGUUUCAGCUAGGGCCCGCGGCUCGGAGUCAGGAGGUCUGGGCUCUAUUUCUGGCUCUGCCGCGGCCUUCCUGUGAGGCUCAGGUGAAGCCCUCGGAGGUGCAGUUUGACCCCUGCUGCCCAUGCUCCCAGAGAAGGCAACAGGAACCUCGCUGCUGACCCCAGUGAACACUGCCGUAGGCCUCACAACACUGACAGCAAUCUGCAAAGCACCAUAUAAGCUGCAUUUUUAUGUCUUCUUUCCAUGUGUGGUCAGGAUGACGAAGAAAGGCUGUAAUUUUGACUGUCUGAAGCAAGCCGUCCUCAGAGGUUGUCACCGAUUCGUCACACCAUGUUCUUUCACCUGAUCUAAGCAUGCCAGCUUUUUUCAGGAUGGUCUGAAAUGGCUCACUGGAACUGCUAAUUGGAGGACUAGACAAUAUCCCUGCUCCUAUUUGUGUUGCAGCAAUAUUUCAUUAAAUUAGCACUGGAUGCAACUCCGGCAAGCUAAUGUACAUCUAUACCAAUUUGCAAGGCUGUCUGCAGGUACUCCCCUUGGGACUGGAUUCCACAGUGACUUAGUGUUAGUCAUUGUUUCCCCAUGACUCUGUGCUUUUUAAGCCAAAUGCUCAAUAUUCUGGGCAGGUGUCAUAGAGUGCAACUUUCUGCUGCUGCAAGCAGAGAAAGUCAGACUCAGCCCAAGGAAAUACUGAGUUAGGAAGGUGUGGCUUUCUGAUGGUUAGCACAGGUCCUCAGGCUGAAAUCUGGAAGGCAGCAUUGCCUCGGUUUUGCCCAUCUCCUUUUCUCAUGGAAGAGAAGGUGACUGCAUGGGAGUAACUGGUGUAUCCAGAGACCCAGCACUGGGCAUAUCGCCUUUUGCUUUCAGAGUAUAGUUUGAAACAUGUCAUCUCCAGGUGAGUCAACCCCUAAAUUGCACAGAGAGGGUGAUAGCUGCUACGGUCAUAUAGGAGAUCUAUGCCAGGCCUGAGCAGAAGGGCAUUGUACAUCCUUUUGUGAUGCCGGAGUAUUUAGAAACCCAAGCCUGUCUGCUCAGCCAACUGUUCAUAUUAAAAAUAUGUCUCGUCAGCUCGUGGUGUUUGUCCACACAAAGCAGAAGUUCUGCGUCCAGCUGUUUCUCCUAACGGAGGAAAGAAGUCUGGUUCACCUCAGCUGGUCAGCU